GGAGUAACGCGUGAGCAACCUGCCUAUGACAGUGGGAUAGCCUCGGGAAACCGGGAUUAAUACCGCAUAAAAUCGUAGAAACACAUGUUUCAACGGUCAAAGAUUUAUCGGUCAUAGAUGGGCUCGCGUCUGAUUAGCUAGUUGGUGAGAUAACAGCCCACCAAGGCGACGAUCAGUAGCCGGUCUGAGAGGAUGAACGGCCACAUUGGAACUGAGACACGGUCCAAACUCCUACGGGAGGCAGCAGCU
Molecule: ribosomal RNA, 249 nt
Filed under: uncultured Finegoldia sp.
Lineage: Bacteria; Bacillati; Bacillota; Tissierellia; Tissierellales; Peptoniphilaceae
Description: partial 16S ribosomal RNA
Rfam family: Bacterial small subunit ribosomal RNA
Source: RNAcentral